RNA transcript from Triticum dicoccoides, 464 nucleotides. RefSeq lists it as uncharacterized. Lineage: Eukaryota; Viridiplantae; Streptophyta; Magnoliopsida; Poales; Poaceae. The record is from RefSeq and is a predicted model, not a curated record. The transcript has 4 exons.
GCCGGCGACGCCGGGCCCCCUCCCUCCUCUUGGUGCCCUCACUGUUGCUGCCAUGAGCCUCUCCACCCUCUCCCGCGCGAUGGUCCGGGUCCAGAUUGCUGCACCUUCUGGUUGUGAGUGGAUCCAAGAGUUAACAUGGUACAAUAUUCAGUCUCAUGUGUUACUCAAGUACUAAAAUGGAAGCAGAGAGAAACAAGCCCAGUGAGAGAGUGGAUAACGGCAGAAACACUUCAACCAAAUCCAGAGAUAUAGAAAAUGAUUGGAGCUGAUGCCGAUCCUAUCGAGAUCCGAGUGCCGAGAACGAGAGCCUCCUCCAUCUUCCCCUCCUCACCAAGGAGAACUGCUACUUCCCUGUUCGAGGAGCUCUCUAUAUCAGCCACUGACCUCCUCAUCUUCAUGGUGCUCACCUCAGCCUGCAAUUUCAGCUGACAGAUAGGUGCAGGAAGAAGAAACAAAUGCAAGAA